CCCUUAGAUGUUCUGGGCAGCACGCGCGCUUCAAUGGUCUUCGCAAACGGAUGCAUUCUCGAAGGAGAAUGCCAAUCUUGGAAUCUAUGCCUUGGUCGGGACAGUUGCUUGCAAUUUUUCGACUCGAACCAGGAAUUCCUUGUAAUCGUGAUUCAUCACAUCACGAUGAAUACGUCCCUGCCCUUUGUACACACCGCCCGUCGCUCCUACCGAUCGAAGAGUUAGGUGAAUUGUUUUGAUCGAUAAGAUUUGACUAUGGUCAACUCUCGUUGUGAAAUUCUGUGAAUCUGACUGUUUAGAGGAAGGAAAAGUCGUAACA
This 319-nucleotide ribosomal RNA is filed under the name uncultured eukaryote. Its description in RNAcentral is "partial 18S ribosomal RNA". It matches the Rfam family "Eukaryotic small subunit ribosomal RNA", at positions 1470 to 1796 of the family's 1831-position model. The record is from RNAcentral.